RNAcentral lists this small nuclear RNA (18 nucleotides) under Arabidopsis thaliana (thale cress). RNAcentral describes it as "snRNA_07245". Lineage: Eukaryota; Viridiplantae; Streptophyta; Magnoliopsida; Brassicales; Brassicaceae. The record is from RNAcentral.
CCACCCGCCUAGGUUGGA